Molecule: long non-coding RNA, 1232 nt
Filed under: Sus scrofa (pig)
Lineage: Eukaryota; Metazoa; Chordata; Mammalia; Artiodactyla; Suidae
Description: lncRNA (ENSSSCG00030043460.1)
Source: RNAcentral
AUGCUGCCAGCUCGCUGCGGGAGCCUCCCUUCUCCGAGCUUAGGAGGGAAGGGCGAGCAAGUGCGCGCGCACACCCAGACCCAGACACACACACACACACACACACACACACACACACAUCUCCUUCCUUCGGAGUUGUGUCUCGUCUCCCUUUUGUUUUUCUCCAUUCCCGGUCAUGAGACCCGGAAGUUUUUUUUUUUUUUUUUUUUUUUUUUUAAUCCAGUCUCUCUCCCUUUUCCAACCCCACCCCCCCAAUCUAUCACAUGGCAGAGACAGAAUAAAAACAGAAAAAUGGCGACGGUCACGUUGUGGCGAGCACGUUGUAUCCUUGCUGCGUCAUUAGAUAAUCCUCAUGCAAAUAGCGGGAAGAACAAAGGAAGGGGGGCCCGGGACCCCCGGGGGCGCAGGGUGCUGGCGUGGGUCCCUCGCCGUCCGGCGGCGACUGUAAAUAGAGCCUGGAUGUUGUUUACAUGAAGGAUCCGGCGGGAGGAGUCUGCGAGGAGGAGGCGGAGGAGGAGGAGGAGGGAGGAGAGAGGAAGACCAGAGUCCCCGCGGCGGCGGUCCGGGGUGAGGGUGAGCCCCGCGCGCGUAGGGCACCGGGGGCUACCGCGAGGCCGGGACGCUGGACCUGGGGUAGGAGGGAGAAUGGGCGCCGGGCUGGGAGAAGGGGGGGGCUGUCAGAGAGGCAUUUUUAGCUUCCUACCUGCCACGCAGAUUCUCCGGGGCGAGAGGGGAGGGGUGUGCGAGGAGGGCGGGGAAUCCUGAUUUCCCUACACGUUCCUUUUCCCAUCCCCAGUCUCUUCCCGCUUCCUCUUGAGGCUCACCUGUUUAUUUCCUUCAGCCAGAGCUUGCAGUUUGUUUUUUUUUUUUUUUUUCCGGUAGGCAAGAGAAGCUCUUUCUUUUAUUAGAAACGUUAUUGGGGAAGGGGGUGUCCGCCUGUAAUUUAUGACGGUCCCGGUCGGUUUUCAAGAAGGGGGAGGGGACUUGGCCGGAGACCGCCCGGUAGCUGACCCUCGGGCUUCUCCCUGCCUUCCUGGUCGGCCGAGGAAGCUUUUUCCUCGCACAACUACCCGCAGGCCAGCUGCCGCCUUCUUGGAGAAGGACCACAUCUAUUCCUAUUCCUCCCUUUGGAGGAGAGGUGAGCUGAGAAAGCGGGGAAUCCUCUGUUCCCCAAAGCUCCUAGCCAAGCUUCCCAUCCCAGCAUUGGCCAGAAAGUGCUGCUUUCACCUGCU